GCCGGUACAAUGAAUCAAAGACCUCUAAACCUCAGAUGGGAAGCAAACUAAUUGAGGCCCUACGAGAAAGUGAGAAGGGGAAAAUGAGAUCCGGACUUCCAGAGGCACCUACAAAUCUGUUUGAUGAUAGCAAAAGAGGGAUGCCAAAACCAGGAUGGACUUUUGAGUUUCCAGGAGGAAUUGAUGUCUUCCUUGUUGUAUUUUCAUUUGUAUUCAUCAGCACAGUUAUGUUUGCUACAACAUACAUUGUGUGGAAGGUUGGUGCUAUCCAUUUCAACGAGUAGUGAGGUAGAUGGUUAUGUAUAUCCAGUAUCCUUGGGUUUUCAGGACAUGGUACUGGUCUAGCCAUCCACUAGUACCCGAGAUGAACAAUAUGCUUUCUUUAUCAUGGCUAAGAAAUUAUACUUUUUGCGCCAGUUUAAGG
RNAcentral lists this unclassified non-coding RNA (424 nucleotides) under Hevea brasiliensis (rubber tree). Lineage: Eukaryota; Viridiplantae; Streptophyta; Magnoliopsida; Malpighiales; Euphorbiaceae. The record is from RNAcentral.